Molecule: ribosomal RNA, 453 nt
Filed under: uncultured bacterium
Lineage: Bacteria
Description: bacterial SSU rRNA
Rfam family: Bacterial small subunit ribosomal RNA
Source: RNAcentral
CUGGCUCAGGAUGAACGCUGGCGGCGUGCUUAACACAUGCAAGUCGAACGGGAUCCAUCAGGCUUUGCUUGGUGGUGAGAGUGGCGAACGGGUGAGUAAUGCGUGACCGACCUGCCCCAUACACCGGAAUAGCUCCUGGAAACGGGUGGUAAUGCCGGAUGCUCCAGUUGAUCGCAUGGUCUUCUGGGAAAGCUUUCGCGGUAUGGGAUGGGGUCGCGUCCUAUCAGCUUGACGGCGGGGUAACGGCCCACCGUGGCUUCGACGGGUAGCCGGCCUGAGAGGGCGACCGGCCACAUUGGGACUGAGAUACGGCCCAGACUCCUACGGGAGGCAGCAGUGGGGAAUAUUGCACAAUGGGCGCAAGCCUGAUGCAGCGACGCCGCGUGAGGGAUGGAGGCCUUCGGGUUGGUUAAACCGUCUUUUAUUCGGGGUAGGCGAAGCGAGAGUGAGUUA